GGGUUUGUCCAGUUUGAUUCAGAGGAUUCUGCCUUGGCUGCACGAACCGCUCUCCAUGAUACCAUGCUUGAAGGAAAAACACUGUAUGUAUCCAAAUUCGUCAAGAAAAGUGAGAGGAUAGCAGCCACACUUCAUGAAGAAUCAAAAUUUACAAAUCUCUAUGUAAAAAAUCUGGCUGAUAAUGUGACAGAGGAUACCCUUCAAAACAUG
RNAcentral lists this unclassified non-coding RNA (210 nucleotides) under Hevea brasiliensis (rubber tree). Lineage: Eukaryota; Viridiplantae; Streptophyta; Magnoliopsida; Malpighiales; Euphorbiaceae. The record is from RNAcentral.